GGGUCCUUAGCUCAAUCGGUUAGAGCGCCCGCCUUUUAAGCGGUAGGUUUCGGGUUCAAGUCCCGAAGGACCCACCA
Molecule: transfer RNA, 77 nt
Filed under: Sandarakinorhabdus limnophila
Lineage: Bacteria; Pseudomonadati; Pseudomonadota; Alphaproteobacteria; Sphingomonadales; Sphingosinicellaceae
Also listed under: 3 other names
Description: tRNA-Lys
Rfam family: tRNA
About the family: Transfer RNA (tRNA) molecules are approximately 80 nucleotides in length.
Source: RNAcentral